AAAUAUGGCGAGCGACUCCCCGGCGCGGAGCCUGGACGAGAUAGACCUCUCGGCGCUGCGGGAUCCUGCAGGAAUCUUUGAAUUGGUAGAGCUCGUUGGCAAUGGUACCUACGGGCAGGUCUAUAAGGGUCGUCAUGUUAAAACAGGCCAGCUUGCUGCUAUUAAGGUUAUGGACGUCACCGGGGAUGAAGAGGAAGAGAUCAAACAAGAAAUUAACAUGCUGAAGAAAUAUUCUCAUCACCGAAAUAUUGCUACGUAUUAUGGUGCUUUUAUUAAAAAGAACCCACCAGGAAUGGAUGAUCAGCUCUGGCUGGUGAUGGAGUUCUGCGGCGCGGGCUCCGUCACUGACCUCAUCAAGAACACCAAGGGGAACACCUUGAAGGAGGAGUGGAUUGCCUACAUCUGCAGAGAGAUUCUGCGGGGCUUGAGUCAUCUACACCAGCACAAAGUAAUUCAUCGAGACAUCAAGGGACAGAAUGUAUUGCUGACGGAAAACGCAGAAGUGAAGCUAGUGGAUUUUGGUGUCAGUGCCCAGCUGGACAGGACGGUGGGCAGGAGGAACACCUUCAUUGGAACGCCUUACUGGAUGGCCCCCGAGGUCAUCGCCUGCGAUGAAAAUCCCGACGCCACUUACGACUUCAAGAGUGACUUGUGGUCUCUGGGGAUAACAGCCAUCGAGAUGGCCGAAGGUGCUCCCCCUCUGUGUGACAUGCAUCCCAUGAGAGCCCUCUUCCUCAUCCCCCGCAACCCGGCCCCGAGGUUGAAGUCAAAGAAGUGGUCCAAAAAGUUUCAGUCCUUCAUUGAGAGCUGCCUAGUGAAGAACCACAGCCAGAGACCAACCACGGAGCAGCUGAUGAAGCACCCGUUCAUCCGAGACCAGCCCAACGAAAGGCAGGUCCGCAUCCAGCUCAAGGACCACAUCGACAGGACUAAAAAGAAGCGAGGAGAGAAAGAUGAGACAGAGUAUGAGUACAGUGGAAGUGAGGAGGAGGAGGAGGAAAAUGACUCUGGAGAGCCGAGCUCCAUCCUGAACCUGCCCGGGGAGUCGACGCUGCGGCGGGAUUUCCUGCGGCUGCAGCUGGCCAACAAGGAGCGCUCGGAGGCGCUGCGGCGGCAGCAGCUGGAGCAGCAGCAGCGCGAGAACGAGGAGCACAAGCGGCAGUUGCUGGCCGAGCGGCAGAAGCGCAUCGAGGAGCAGAAGGAGCAGAGGAGGAGGCUGGAGGAGCAACAGAGGCGGGAGAAGGAGCUGCGGAAGCAGCAGGAGCGGGAGCAGCGCCGGCACUACGAGGAGCAGAUGCGGCGGGAGGAGGAGCGGCGGCGCGCAGAGCACGAGCAGGAGUACAUCAGGCGACAGUUAGAGGAGGAGCAGAGACAGUUAGAGAUCCUGCAGCAGCAGUUGUUGCAGGAGCAAGCGCUACUUCUGGAGUACAAGCGCAAGCAGCUGGAGGAGCAGCGGCAGGCGGAGAGGCUGCAGAGGCAGCUCCAGCAGGAGAGGGACUACCUGGUGUCCCUGCAGCAGCAGCAGCAGCAGCAGAGACAGGACCAGAGGCCAGCAGAGAAGAAACCCCUCUACCAUUACAAAGAAGGGAUAAAUGCCAGCGAGAAGCCAGCGUGGGCCAAGGAGGUGGAGGAGCGCUCCCGGCUCAAUCGCCAGAGCUCGCCGGCCAUGCCCCACAAGGUGGCCAACAGGAUCUCUGACCCCAACCUGCCUCCCCGCUCCGAGUCCUUCAGCAUCAGCGGCGUGCAGCCAGCCCGGACCCCGCCCCUGCUCCGGCCCGUGGACCCGCAGAUUCCACAUCUGGUCACUGUGAAAUCCCAAGGAAGCUCCUUGUCUGGGUCUCAGUCACUGCAUGAACAGCCUGCAAAGGGACUGGCUGGGUUUCAGGAGGCUCUGACGGUGACCUCUCACCGCACUGAGAUGCCAAGGCAGAACUCGGACCCCACCUCAGAAAACCCUCCUCUGCCCCCUCGCAUUGAAAAGUUUGACCGAAGUUCUUGGUUACGGCAGGAGGAAGACAUUCCACCAAAGGUGCCUCAACGAACCACUUCCAUAUCCCCUGCCCUGGCAAGGAAGAACUCCCCGGGCAAUGGCAGUGCCCUGGGGCCCCGGCUGGGCUCCCAGCCCAUCCGGGCAAGCAACCCAGACCUGAGGAGGACAGAGACCAUCGUGGAGAGCCCCUUGCAGAGGACCAGCAGUGGCAGCUCCUCCAGCUCCAGCACUCCCAGCUCCCAGCCCAGCUCCCAGGGUGGAUCCCAGCCUGGCUCCCAGGCUGGCUCCAGCGAGCGCAACAGAGUCAGAGGGAAUGCCAAGCCUGAAGGGUCCCCUGUGCUCUCCCAUGAGCCUGCCAAGGUCAAGCAGGAGGACAACAGGGACGUGACACGACCGAGCCGACCCGCUAGCUAUAAGAAAGCUAUAGAUGAGGGAGAAAUGGAUCUGACGGCUUUAGCCAAAGAGCUGAGGGAGCUGCGCAUCGAGGAAACCAAUCGCCCCCUGAAGAAGGUGACGGACUAUUCCUCCUCCAGCGAGGAGUCAGAGAGCAGCGAGGAGGAGGAGGAGGAUGGCGAGAACGAGACACACGAUGGGACCGUGCCUGUCAGUGACAUCCCACGGCUCAUACCAACAGGAAUCCCUGGAAGCAACGAGCCCUACAACCUGGGAAUGGUGACAACCCACGGGCUAGAGACUUCCCACGCAGAUACGUUUAGCAAUAUUUCAAGGGAAGGGACUUUAAUGGUGAGGGAGACCUCUGGUGAAAAAAAGCGUUCUGGCCACGCAGCCAGCAAUGGCUUUGCAGGUCACAUCAAUCUGCCUGACCUGGUGCAGCAAAGCCACUCGCCGGCGGGCACGCCGACCGAGGCCCUGGGGCGAGGCUCCACGCAUGCGCAGGACAUGGACUCGGUGCCUGAAUAUGGUAUGGGAAGUAGCACCAAAGCCUCUUUCACCCCCUUUGUGGACACCAGAGUGUAUCAGACCUCACCUACCGAUGAAGAUGAAGAUGAGGAUGAAGAGUCAUCCACCAAUCCCCUGUUCACCAGCGAGCUGCUGAGGCAGGAGCAGGCCAAGCUGAACGAGGCGCGCAAGAUCUCGGUGGUGAACGUGAACCCCACCAACAUCCGCCCGCACAGCGACACCCCCGAGAUCCGCAAGUACAAGAAGCGCUUCAACUCGGAGAUCCUCUGUGCUGCCCUCUGGGGUGUGAAUCUCCUGGUGGGCACUGAGAACGGGCUGAUGCUGCUGGACCGAAGUGGGCAGGGCAAGGUCUACAACCUCAUCAACAGGCGGCGCUUCCAGCAGAUGGACGUCCUCGAGGGCCUCAACGUCCUCGUGACAAUAUCAGGAAAGAAGAACAAGCUGCGUGUGUACUACCUGUCCUGGCUGAGAAACAGGAUUUUACACAAUGACCCUGAGGUGGAGAAGAAGCAGGGUUGGAUCACAGUUGGAGACCUGGAGGGAUGCAUCCACUACAAAGUUGUGAAAUAUGAAAGAAUCAAGUUCUUGGUGAUUGCCUUAAAGAACGCUGUAGAGAUCUACGCUUGGGCUCCUAAACCAUAUCACAAGUUUAUGGCAUUUAAGUCUUUUUCAGAUCUCCAGCACAAGCCGUUGCUCGUGGAUCUCACUGUGGAAGAGGGUCAGAGGCUGAAGGUCAUCUUUGGAUCCCACACUGGUUUCCAUGUGAUUGAUGUAGAUUCUGGGAACUCCUAUGAUAUCUAUAUUCCAUCUCACAUUCAGGGCAAUAUUACUCCUCACGCCAUUGUCAUCCUGCCCAAGACGGAUGGGAUGGAGAUGCUGGUGUGCUAUGAGGAUGAGGGUGUCUAUGUGAACACCUACGGACGCAUAACUAAAGACGUGGUGCUCCAGUGGGGAGAAAUGCCUACUUCUGUGGCCUACAUUCAUUCCAAUCAAAUAAUGGGCUGGGGAGAGAAAGCUAUUGAGAUCCGGUCAGUGGAGACAGGACAUUUGGACGGAGUAUUUAUGCACAAGAGAGCUCAAAGGUUGAAGUUUCUAUGUGAAAGAAAUGAUAAGGUAUUUUUUGCAUCGGUGAGAUCCGGAGGAAGCAGCCAAGUGUUCUUCAUGACCCUCAACAGAAACUCCAUGAUGAACUGGUAACAGAGGAGCACUUGGCACUCACCGCCAUGGCAUUAUUUCUAAUUUAAAGGACAUUAAACACGUGGACUAACACUGUAGAGGCAGGUGGGGAGGAAGCCCUCCCCACGCUCCCCCGGCGCCGCCAGCCCCGGGGCAGGGACUGCAGCCAGGGAUGGACUUUCACGCUUGGACCCCCCGAGGUCUCCUGAUUACGCUGUGUUAUAGUGGGUUAUGAGUUUUUCCUUUAUUUUAUUUUAUUUUAUUUUUUAGUUUUACUUUUACUUUGUCCCCUACUUUGUAAGAACGGGGAAAGAAACAGUGUCAAAAAGUCUGUUUUUAAUUCUGUCUGCCUGCUAGCAUCAAAUAUAUAGUAUGUUGUAAAGUUACCAAUUAAAUCUGGUGAGAGACAGCACAAUAAAUGUACCUUUUAUCUUUGUGAUGAAGGCCAUAACCAUAUAGCUGGGUAAUUUUAGAAAUCUUUUGCCUUCACCAACAUUUACAUGUUGCUUUUGGCAGCAACGGCUUAACGGAUUUUUAAAGAAGAGAAAAAAUAAUAGGUUUUUUUCCCCUCUUUUGGGAAAUGGAUUUUAAAUGGCUAAACUACUAGCCUUAGACUAAUAAAAAUCAGCUACCAUUUUUGUCAAGUCUGUCAAUCCAUAUUUCUAUAUGGAUCUUCACAUAAUGGUGUGUCUUGAUAGGGACAGAGGUGCCAUUUCUUGUUGCUCCGGAGGUGCCCGCCUGCCCCGGGGCGUGGGGCACCGGGACGGGAUCGGAGGAGGAGAGCAGGGCAGGGCGGUCACAGGAGCCCUGUGCUCUCCCCCAGGGGGACUUGUGACUGCAGAGGCUCCUGGAUGCUGUGGGUGCCCGACCCUGCUGCUGAAGCUGGCACAGGUUGUGGGUGCUGGUUCCCCCUGAGUCUGGAGCCGGGCACUGGCGCCUGCAGGAGCAGCCGGCACAGGGAUGGGGACCACGACACAAGCUGCCUGUCCCUCAUGUUGCUGGAUUGGGCUUGUAAAGAGCUUAAAAAAUUAUAUAUAUGUGUGGUUUCUUCAGCCAAGGGUCUGAAUCUACUCGUUUUCCACCCCCUCCACUCCCUAGGAAUUACCCAACAUACAGUGAAAGACAACAUCUGUGCCGAACCGUGUGUGUGUGUUUAGUUCAGGUUGAAUCGUGUCCUUAUAAACUCUGCUCAGUUGAUUUCCGUUUUGGGUGCGUAUCUGGGGUUUUCUUUCUCAGUAGCUGCAAGCAUGGCCGCCUGUGGUGUUGGGGUGUCGCAUAACAAGGUCUGUGUUGCUGGUUUUAACCUACCUCGUUUCGGUUGGGGUUUGUUUUUUGGUUUGGUUUUGUUUUAUUUUAUUUUUUUCCGUUCCGCUGUCUAUCACAGCGCUGUUACCUCCAGCGACAUAUAGAGAGCUUAACUGGCAAUCUUGGUGUACUCAGUAACGAUGGCUUUAUUAAAAAAUGAUUAAAUCAACAGGACUUGGUCAAACUUGAAUCUUUAUCAAGGGUAAGAGGUGAUGCAGGGUGGCAGGGAUGGGAUGGGCCGGGCCACCCUCACCUGAAGCGUUCUGUGGGCAGGGUGUCAGGGUUUGGUACCGCAGGGAUUGCCAGCAGUGGGACUCCCAGGAUGUGGAGUUCAGGGAAAAACAGGGGGGAUGUGCUUUGUGGUGCCUUCUUCCAGCACCAGGCACCCUCCUGUUGGGAUGGUGCAGUCUGGAGAGAGUAGGGAUGGCCACAGGAUCACAAUACUGGUAUUCAAAUCCCAUCAUGAACACUGAUUGCCACCAGCUCUUUGUAUUUUCAUUGUGGUUAAAAUAAAAAAUCAAAUAAAGCCCAGAGCUUUUAUUGUGUUGCA
This is an RNA transcript of Ficedula albicollis (Collared flycatcher), 5942 nucleotides long. It is a transcript of the gene named TRAF2 and NCK interacting kinase, with no coding region annotated. The record is from RefSeq and is a predicted model, not a curated record. The transcript is spliced from 35 exons. Lineage: Eukaryota; Metazoa; Chordata; Aves; Passeriformes; Muscicapidae.